GUUUAAAACAAGUCCCUAAGAUUUGGUAUGAAAGAUUAAAUAAGUUCUUACUAGAAAAUAAUUUUUUAAGAGAAAAAAUAGAUACAACUCUUUUUAUAAAAAGAAAAGAUAAAAAAUUCUAGUUAUACAAAUAUAUAUUGAUGAUAUUAUAUUUGGAUCUACUAAUGAAGCUUUGUGCUAAAAAUUUGCCAAGCUCAUGCAGGA
Molecule: long non-coding RNA, 204 nt
Filed under: Elaeis guineensis (African oil palm)
Lineage: Eukaryota; Viridiplantae; Streptophyta; Magnoliopsida; Arecales; Arecaceae
Description: long non-coding RNA (EGUI_LNC063169)
Source: RNAcentral